AUUUAUGGCUACUUACCUGAUUUGUUGUGGAAUUGGCUCUCCAUCUUUGCCUUGACAAAAUGAUUUGCCUGUCCAUAGUGCAGCUAUGCACAUUUCUGGUUCCCUCUCGAUUUCAAGGCUGUCAAAAUCUCCUUUUCAUGAGUUAUGGCCAAGAGAGAGGGAAAGAGGAAAACAUAGAGACUCAAAGUAAUUUCUUUAUUCAACUGAGCUUAUGUGGCAAUCU
Long non-coding RNA from Neltuma alba, 223 nucleotides. RefSeq lists it as uncharacterized. The record is from RefSeq and is a predicted model, not a curated record. The transcript is spliced from 3 exons. NCBI's taxonomy places the organism in Eukaryota, Viridiplantae, Streptophyta, Magnoliopsida, Fabales, Fabaceae.